Molecule: ribosomal RNA, 500 nt
Filed under: uncultured bacterium
Lineage: Bacteria
Description: partial 16S ribosomal RNA
Rfam family: Bacterial small subunit ribosomal RNA
Source: RNAcentral
AUUGAACGCUGGCGGCAUGCCUUACACAUGCAAGUCGAACGGCAGCACGGGAGCAAUCCUGGUGGCGAGUGGCGAACGGGUGAAUAAAGUAUCGGAACGUGCCCUGUAGUGGGGGAUAACUAGUCGAAAGAUUAGCUAAUACCGCAUACGACCUGAGAGUGAAAGUGGGGGACCGCAAGGCCUCAUGCUAUAGGAGCGGCCGAUGCCUGAUUAGCUAGUUGGUGGGGUAAAGGCCUACCAAGGCGACGAUCAGUAGCUGGUCUGAGAGGACGAUCAGCCACACUGGGACUGAGACACGGCCCAGACUCCUACGGGAGGCAGCAGUGGGGAAUUUUGGACAAUGGGCGAAAGCCUGAUCCAGCAAUGCCGCGUGUGUGAAGAAGGCCUUCGGGUUGUAAAGCACUUUUGUCCGGAAAGAAAUGGCUCUGGUUAAUACCUGGGGUCGAUGACGGUACCGGAAGAAUAAGGACCGGCUAACUACGUGCCAGCCGCCGCCGUAA